This 71-nucleotide transfer RNA is filed under the name Loxodonta africana (African savanna elephant). It matches the Rfam family "tRNA". From Rfam's summary of the family: Transfer RNA (tRNA) molecules are approximately 80 nucleotides in length. Their secondary structure includes four short double-helical elements and three loops (D, anti-codon, and T loops). The record is from Rfam by way of RNAcentral. Lineage: Eukaryota; Metazoa; Chordata; Mammalia; Proboscidea; Elephantidae.
GCAAUAGUAGUUCAGUGGUAGACUUCUCACCUUCCAUGUAGGAGACCUGGGUUCAAUUCCCGGCCAAUGUA